CCUCUCAGAAAAUUGCUUUUCAAGAUCAAACAACAUUUUCUUUCUCAUGUUCUUCUUAUGUUCUUAUCCAACAACUCAUUUUGAUCCACGUAAACACCCAAAAUCAUAUCCAAACUAAUUUUUUUAGGAUCAAAACACCUAAAACACCAAAAUCUUCAACCUCUUUCUCAUCCAACCCCAAAAAUCAUCAAGAAUAAAACCUAAGCUAAACCAAAAUCCAAAAGGAUUUUCCCAACUUCACACAACCUAAACUACCAACCCCUAAACCAAAACCCAAUCGCCACCAUCUCCUUCGUCGGAAUCCAACACCGACCGAACACUAGCCACCACUCGGCUAUCAAAUCCAACGCCAGCCGACCACCUAACCAUCACCGACCCUAACGCGUUAGAACCAAGAAACAAGCAAAAAAAAGCUCACAUUGAAACCGGAAUCAACGACGAGCGGUGGUGGCGAAACUUCAAAGCGACGACUCGACGAGGAAGAUGACUGGACAUGCGCUGGUGACUCGUCGGUGAACUCUCGGGUCGGCUGUAGAGGGCGAAGCUUUCUUUGAAAGAUGAAAUCUUAACCAUUGGAUCUAAUCUUGAUCCAACGAUUGAGAUUGAUCCUUGCUUUUUUACUUAGAUGCAUGAUGUGGUUUGAUGAGAGCCAUUGAAUCUAGUUUCUCAUCCAAGGGCUCACAUGAAAUUGUGUUUCUUUCACAUGGAUUAAAGCAAUAGUGAUCUUUGGAUGAAAGCUAAUCAAGGGUGGAGAUUAAUUUGUGUUACUUCACAAAGAUUGGUGAUGUGAUCACCUAAAAAUUUGAACUACUAUAAAUGCCUCAUCUAAAAAGUUGAACUAACAUAAAUGCUUCAUCUUUAACUUUUCAAAACAACAAUCCCCCAAGGCAUCCAAAACCGGCGGCUGAAGCAUGUAUUUAGGCUAGUUUUUGUUGUUGUUGUUAUAUUUGUAAAAAUAUGGGCUAUUAUUUGGGCCUAAAUAACUAUGUAAAUGGAUUAUUAUCUAAUGCAAUGGACUAUUAUUUUUGA
Long non-coding RNA from Hibiscus syriacus, 1029 nucleotides. RefSeq lists it as uncharacterized. The record is from RefSeq and is a predicted model, not a curated record. The transcript has 2 exons. NCBI's taxonomy places the organism in Eukaryota, Viridiplantae, Streptophyta, Magnoliopsida, Malvales, Malvaceae.